Molecule: ribosomal RNA, 1498 nt
Filed under: Klebsiella aerogenes
Lineage: Bacteria; Pseudomonadati; Pseudomonadota; Gammaproteobacteria; Enterobacterales; Enterobacteriaceae
Description: bacterial SSU rRNA
Rfam family: Bacterial small subunit ribosomal RNA
Source: RNAcentral
GUUUGAUCCUGGCUCAGAUUGAACGCUGGCGGCAGGCCUAACACAUGCAAGUCGAGCGGUAGCACAGAGAGCUUGCUCUCGGGUGACGAGCGGCGGACGGGUGAGUAAUGUCUGGGAAGCUGCCUGAUGGAGGGGGAUAACUACUGGAAACGGUAGCUAAUACCGCAUAACGUCGCAAGACCAAAGUGGGGGACCUUCGGGCCUCAUGCCAUCAGAUGUGCCCAGAUGGGAUUAGCUAGUAGGUGGGGUAAUGGCUCACCUAGGCGACGAUCCCUAGCUGGUCUGAGAGGAUGACCAGCCACACUGGAACUGAGACACGGUCCAGACUCCUACGGGAGGCAGCAGUGGGGAAUAUUGCACAAUGGGCGCAAGCCUGAUGCAGCCAUGCCGCGUGUAUGAAGAAGGCCUUCGGGUUGUAAAGUACUUUCAGCGAGGAGGAAGGCGUUAAGGUUAAUAACCUUGGCGAUUGACGUUACUCGCAGAAGAAGCACCGGCUAACUCCGUGCCAGCAGCCGCGGUAAUACGGAGGGUGCAAGCGUUAAUCGGAAUUACUGGGCGUAAAGCGCACGCAGGCGGUCUGUCAAGUCGGAUGUGAAAUCCCCGGGCUCAACCUGGGAACUGCAUUCGAAACUGGCAGGCUAGAGUCUUGUAGAGGGGGGUAGAAUUCCAGGUGUAGCGGUGAAAUGCGUAGAGAUCUGGAGGAAUACCGGUGGCGAAGGCGGCCCCCUGGACAAAGACUGACGCUCAGGUGCGAAAGCGUGGGGAGCAAACAGGAUUAGAUACCCUGGUAGUCCACGCCGUAAACGAUGUCGACUUGGAGGUUGUGCCCUUGAGGCGUGGCUUCCGGAGCUAACGCGUUAAGUCGACCGCCUGGGGAGUACGGCCGCAAGGUUAAAACUCAAAUGAAUUGACGGGGGCCCGCACAAGCGGUGGAGCAUGUGGUUUAAUUCGAUGCAACGCGAAGAACCUUACCUACUCUUGACAUCCAGAGAACUUAGCAGAGAUGCUUUGGUGCCUUCGGGAACUCUGAGACAGGUGCUGCAUGGCUGUCGUCAGCUCGUGUUGUGAAAUGUUGGGUUAAGUCCCGCAACGAGCGCAACCCUUAUCCUUUGUUGCCAGCGAUUCGGUCGGGAACUCAAAGGAGACUGCCAGUGAUAAACUGGAGGAAGGUGGGGAUGACGUCAAGUCAUCAUGGCCCUUACGAGUAGGGCUACACACGUGCUACAAUGGCAUAUACAAAGAGAAGCGACCUCGCGAGAGCAAGCGGACCUCAUAAAGUAUGUCGUAGUCCGGAUUGGAGUCUGCAACUCGACUCCAUGAAGUCGGAAUCGCUAGUAAUCGUAGAUCAGAAUGCUACGGUGAAUACGUUCCCGGGCCUUGUACACACCGCCCGUCACACCAUGGGAGUGGGUUGCAAAAGAAGUAGGUAGCUUAACCUUCGGGAGGGCGCUUACCACUUUGUGAUUCAUGACUGGGGUGAAGUCGUAACAAGGUAGCC